AACGCGAAGAACCUUACCAGCCCUUGACAUCCCGGUCGCGGGAACGAGAGAUCGAUCCCUUCAGUUCGGCUGGACCGGAGACAGGUGCUGCAUGGCUGUCGUCAGCUCGUGUCGUGAGAUGUUGGGUUAAGUCCCGCAACGAGCGCAACCCUCGCCCUUAGUUGCCAUCAUUCAGUUGGGCCCUCUAAGGGGACUGCCGGUGAUAAGCCGCGAGGAAGGUGGGGAUGACGUCAAGUCCUCAUGGCCCUUACGGGCUGGGCUACACACGUGCUACAAUGGCGGUGACAGUGGGACGCAAUGGGGCAACCCUGCGCAAAUCUCAAAAAGCCGUCUCAGUUCGGAUUGUGCUCUGCAACUCGAGCACAUGAAGUUGGAAUCGCUAGUAAUCGCAGAUCAGCACGCUGCGGUGAAUACGUUCCCGGGCCUUGUACACACCGCACUACUA
RNAcentral lists this ribosomal RNA (445 nucleotides) under uncultured bacterium. RNAcentral describes it as "bacterial SSU rRNA". It matches the Rfam family "Bacterial small subunit ribosomal RNA", at positions 958 to 1400 of the family's 1533-position model. The record is from RNAcentral.